This 253-nucleotide ribosomal RNA is filed under the name uncultured bacterium. Its description in RNAcentral is "partial 16S ribosomal RNA". It matches the Rfam family "Bacterial small subunit ribosomal RNA", at positions 524 to 776 of the family's 1533-position model. The record is from RNAcentral.
UACGAAGGGGGCUAGCGUUGCUCGGAAUCACUGAGCGUAAAGGGUGCGUAGGCGGGUCUUUAAGUCAGGGGUGAAAUCCUGGAGCUCAACUCCAGAACUGCCUUUGAUACUGAAGAUCUUGAGUCCGGGAGAGGUGAGUGGAACUGCGAGUGUAGAGGUGAAAUUCGUAGAUAUUCGCAAGAACACCAGUGGCGAAGGCGGCUCACUGGCCCGGUACUGACGCUGAGACGCGAAAGCGUGGGGAGCAAACAGG